GAAACCAUGUUUGGCUCUGAUACCAAGUUGAUGUAGAAUCAAUAUACUAAUCAAGAAAUAACAAAGUUAGAAGGACAGGAAGAAAUAAGCAGCAAGAAAGGGGAAGAAGCAGAGAGAAUGGAGGGAGAAGACCAGAGGAGAAGAGAAACAAGAGGGGAAGGCACGAGAAAGCAAUGCUAAUUUUCAUUCAAUUCUUCAUCUUCAUCAACUGAGUUCUUCAAUUCAUUACAACCAUAUAAAUAACAAACUAAUAAACCUAAUUUGAGGACUUGGGCCAAACCCAUAUACAAACCCAAUAAAACAUAAAAAAUGGAAGAUAAAAUGGCCCAAAUAAAGGGCCUGAUGAAGGAUGAUGUCCGCAUCAACUCCUUAGGAGUUUCUCUUGGUAUGUCAAAGAUUUUUGACCGUUUGACAUGGUAGAAUCGGUUGAUUUAUGAGUGUAGAGUCUGGAUUAUUGCUGGGAUUUCCUUUACAGGGUUUUUGCUGAAGAACAAGGUAUAAAACUGCGAAAAUGGCUUUUUCCAAAAAAUUUUGAGUCGGUUAACAUAAUUUCUCCAGCCACACACACUAAAUACCUUUUUUUCUCUGCACAAUCUUCUUGUGUUGAGUUGUAUCAAUGCCAGUGGAGUGAUAUAUUAUUUCAUUUUCUAGUAAAAAACUCUUUAAGAAAAGAAUUAUGAUAACCUCAUUUCAUUUUCAAGAGUUUGACAUUGAUUUUUCACCAUAUAGUGAAAAUCUUGGAUUACAGUAUUUUGCUAUUCAAAUAUCAANACAAUUCCAAGCCCAUAAUAUUAACUAAAGCACAGCCCAAUCUAAAAAAACCAUGUGCUGACUGUUCUCUCUAGCCCAAUCUGUGUGAUGGCAAAUUGGGGAUCGAGUGGAGGUGAGGUGUCGAUGGCUGAGGUGAUUGUGGAUGGCGUCACUGUAAGGAUGAGUGGUUGUAGGUAGUGACUGCAGUGAUUAUGGGCUUUGACGUUGUGAAGGUGAUUGGCGGUUGGUGUGGCUGCGGUGGUGGUUACAAUUGGAGACGAUGAUCGUGAGGUAGAUGUUUCGGGGCAUUGUGAGUUGCUCAAAAUUGGAGGCGACGGAACUUGAGGUGGUAGGGUGGGUGUUUUCGUUUUUGGAAUAGAGUGGGGUGCGAUUUGUGGUUGGAUUGAGCAAUGGCGGUGGCGUUUGAUGUAGAACGGGUUGAUGAAGGCGACAAAUUGGAUUGUGAUUGUGAACACUGCUGGUGGGCGUGACUGGCGGGAAUUGGCGUUCUCGAACUUAUAGUUGCGAUUUUUAUUUAUUUAGUUUUAUUUUUAUUUUUUUGGAUGAAAAGAAAAGUUACUGAUUAUAGUGAAGUUUUCGCCAGUUACUAUCUUGGAGUUUGAGACAUCAUGGUUAAUGAAAGUUAUGUGGCUUGGGUUGAUUGCGGUAAGUUCAGGGUGGUGGGAUUAUGUGGGAUGCCAUUAAGUAAAGGUUGUCGGCAGUGGCGGAACCAGGCAGAAGUGAUUACGGUUUCUGGUGGGAAUGUUGUUGUAAUUUGGGCUGAGUAAUGGGCUAGAUUGAGUGAGUUAAGUGAUGAUUAACUGGGGUAAUGGGCCUGGUGAUUUUGGGGAUUAAGUUGGGCUACAGGCAUGAUAAAUAGCAUGGGCUCAGUGAUUGGGUUAAUGGUUGGUUAUUGGGACGUGAGGAAGUUGGUUAGAGGAUUGGCUGUGUUGUUGGUUUUGUGUAUAUGGAUUUUACAUUUAUAAUUGGAGAGUGGGCUGAAGGUUCAUGGGUUUAGCUGUUAGGGAUGAUUGCAUGUUAAUGGGCAUUGGCAGUUGUAGAAGGCGGUUGGGUGGUGGUGUUACAGCAGCAGUAAUGGAUUUUGGGACUGUUUUCAGAUUAUGGUGGCAACGGUCAACCAUACGCAGCACAAGUUUUUUUGAUGAAGGGAGGCAGUGUUUUGAGAAAGUGAGCCAACAGGUAAAAUUGUGAGAUGGUGUAGAUUUAGCAGGUGACUGGCUUGAGUCUAAAAUCUUUGAGUGAAACAAAAAAGCCAGAUCCUCUUUUCAACACUGUCUUCAGAUUAAGAAUUUCCUGGAAGUGUAUGGUCUCCAUGAUGGUCUAGAACUCAAAAUUAAUUAGCAAUCUGAUGAAGGGAAACCAUGUUUGGCUCUGAUACCAAGUUGAUGUAGAAUCAAUAUACUAAUCAAGAAAUAACAAAGUUAGAAGGACAGGAAGAAAUAAGCAGCAAGAAAGGGGAAGAAGCAGAGAGAAUGGAGGGAGAAGACCAGAGGAGAAGAGAAACAAGAGGGGAAGGCACGAGAAAGCAAUGCUAAUUUUCAUUCAAUUCUUCAUCUUCAUCAACUGAGUUCUUCAAUUCAUUACAACCAUAUAAAUAACAAACUAAUAAACCUAAUUUGAGGACUUGGGCCAAACCCAUAUACAAACCCAAUAAAACAUAAAUAAAUGGAAGAUAAAAUGGCCCAAACAAAGGGCCUGAUGAAGGAUGAUGUCCGCAUCAACUCCUUAGGAGUUUCUCUUGGUAUGUCAAAGAUUUUUGACCGUUCGACAUGGUAGAAUCGGUUGAUUUAUGAGUGUAGAGUCUGGAUUAUUGCUGGGAUUUCCUUUACAGGGUUUUUGCUGAAGAACAAGGUAUAAAACUGCGAAAAUGGCUUUUUCCAAAAAAUUUUGAGUCGGUUAACAUAAUUUCUCCAGCCACACACACUAAAUACCUUU
This 2706-nucleotide long non-coding RNA is filed under the name Olea europaea (common olive). RNAcentral's name for it is "long non-coding RNA (OEUR_LNC004417)". The record is from RNAcentral. Lineage: Eukaryota; Viridiplantae; Streptophyta; Magnoliopsida; Lamiales; Oleaceae.